Long non-coding RNA from Equus caballus (horse), 5517 nucleotides. NCBI's taxonomy places the organism in Eukaryota, Metazoa, Chordata, Mammalia, Perissodactyla, Equidae. The record is from Ensembl.
GGCCUUCAUCAUUCUUACCUGGUCUAACACAAUUUCCUUCCAAAUAUUUUCUGUGCAUCUAAUUUAUCCCCAUUGUUAUUUAUCCUUUAUCAUGCUGCCCCAGAGUUAUCUUUCUAAAACAGGAGCUAAUACGUUUUUCUAUAGAGGGAUAGAUAGUAAAUAUUUUAGGCUUUGCGGAUCGUGUGGUCUCUGUGGCAACUGUUUAACCCUGCCACUGUACCAUGCUAGUAUCCGUAGACAAUACAUAAAUGGAUGGCUGUGGCUGUGUUUCAAUACACCUUUACUUACAAAAACAGUCAACAGGCUAGAUUUGGCCCAAGUGCUGUAGUUUGCUGACCCCUGUCCUACAACAUAACUUGCAACAUGUAUCUCCCCAACAAAGUCUUUCCAUUUUCUACAGAACAUAAUAUUCACCAUCUUUCUAAAUCUGGCAUCAUCCCUAACUUAGCACUUAAGACCAAUUGCCUCAAACUCUCCAGUUCUCACCUAUAUUCUGACAUAUUCCUAAUAUCUUCUGAUUUGAUGGAGAUGAGAAGAUGGUUUAGUGGUAGGUAGGCUUGGGGAUUUGGUCGUGGGAAGAUGGAAUGCUUCCAUCUGAUAGUUCCAUAUUUUUAGUAAAGUAUGGGCAAGGACACCAGCCUACAGAUAAAGGUGGAAGAGGUGGGGCAGAAGAUCCAAAAGAGAGGAUCCAGAUCAAUAUGAUCAUCCUGGGGAACAGCAAAGUAAAUUCAUUAGAGAAAUGUAGCAAGAUUUCUGGGUCAUAUCAAGAUUCAAACUGUGGCCUAACGUUAUGAAUUUAAAGCAAAACUAGCCACCAGAUUAUGUGAUUUCUGUGAUUACUAAGACUUUCCUGUUUAGAUGCAAACAAGGGAAAAGUCUGAAGGAAGGAGAGUUCACACAUGGAUUGAGGCUUUGUAAGGUGAGCUCAAGUGAGGGAAAGAAGAAACUGGGAGUUGAAAGUAUUUGCAAAAGGGCACUAUGCAGAUGAUAAUGGAAUCUGUGCUGAACAAGAUGGAAAGUGAUGACAAGAGAAAACUGAUGGAUAAUAAGAGAAUGAUGGGAUGGAAGGGUCAAAUGUCCCCCUCAUUGAAGAACUAUGUGGUUGUAUGGACGUACUUGUAUCAAUGAACUGAAUGCAUAGGAAGCUGUAGUGGGAAAGUUAGAUGUUUCUUUUUGAAAAGGUUUAUAUUUUUUAAGAGAUGUAAAGGUCCAGGGUGUGACCAUAAAGUGAUUGAAGUGGAAAAAAGGAAAUGUCAAUGGAAUAUGGAAAUCAAGAAACUUGGAAGCUGGGGCUUUUUGAUGGGUUGUCCCCUUAGAUAUUGAAAUUACUAAGGAUAAAGGAAGGAAACUGGAAAUGGAAGACGCUGCCAGGAACAGAAGACUAUUGAAUGAGCAGAUGUGACUAGGAGGUUGGCGGAAGGGUCUAAGGAGGUGUAGGAAACAGUGGUAUAUCCAGAUGACAUUAGCAUUAAAAAAACAGUGAUUUUUGCAGGAGGGAAAGUGUGAGAUAAUUUGAAAGUAGCAAUGUACCUACCUCAACUCCUGGCCCUGAUGUUCACUCAGGGCCCAGGUAUGUUUCAAGUAAGGCAAGGAGGUGAAGGGACUGUUUGAAGGAAAGGGAACUGCUGAUCACAGAUUGGGGUCACAGAGACACUGAAAGGAUUUGUUUGGGAAGGAAGAGAAGUGGAGAAGAUAAACAGAGCUGUGGGUUAAGAAGUGGUGAAAAACAAUGACUGAGAGAGGCGGAGACUCCUGCAGAUUAGUGAGGUACACAGGGAUGUGAAGCGUGGUGGGACUGGUUCUGAGAGGCUCACCUUGUAAUACUGUUGGUGGUGUGUUAGCCUCAGGCAUUAAGUUAUGGCAUGCCCUCAGGACUAAUAGUUACUCUCUCAGCAGCUGAGAGUUCUAGAAUCAUCUGCCACAAUAAGCUCCAUUAUCUUGGGCAAGGAAUUUAGUGCCUCUCAAAACCUCUUAAAACCUCAUGUUCGCCAUCUAUGCCAUGAGGAGUUCGUCUAAGUAAUCUCUUGAACUUCUUCAGACAUUUUAAAUAUCUGAGUGUGAAGGAAUGGGAUCAUGCCACUGAGAAAGGAAGUCCUGGACCUGAGAGCAUUUGGCUGUUGAGUUUCCUCAGUCUUCUUUAAUCUGGAAGCUUUCUUCAAUCUUUGCUUGCCUGUCAUGACCUUGGCAUUUUGUUUUCUAGAGAAGCCCAACAUCCAAAGUCAGCAAGAGAAAAGAACAAAGGGAUGAAAACAAGAAACACCCAUGUCAUUCACAGUGGAAAACAAUGAAGCCUGUGCAGCCCACGGAAGGAUCCUGCAGCCCGCUUUCUGGACAUGAGACCCAGACGGCCCUGAAGAGCAUCUUUACGUGGAGGAGAUUCAGAGCAACUUUGAGGAGAGGAUGGCUGACCAUCUAACAUAAAACCUAGACUAGGGGAAGGACUGGGUUAAAGGCUGCAGGAGAGCCGUGUUCCUUGAAUUCCAUGCAGGGAAUUUUAAGAGUCAAGGAGAUUGAGUAUCAUAAAUGUGAAGGUGUUCACCUGAGACAGAUCAGCCAACUGGAACUUCAACACAGGAUUUCAACCCAGGCUGUCCAGGCUUUUCCUGUCAUGUCAUACUGCCUUUUAAAACAGACAGUUGUUUGCAUUUGACAAAAAACUUCAUGAGGAACUGACAUGCCAGCACAGAUGAAGUGGGACAUAAACACCAUGCACAGAGGUACACAUCCAAUCCAAGAAGAGGAUGCAGACCAGACAAGGUUUUGCUUUUCCCGGAUGUCUUCUGGAACUCCAUCCCUACCUGAGGCUUCCACGCUGGAUUACAGGCAUUCCUAGGCUCUCUCUUAACCACCACUCAUAGCUUGCAUCACUGUUUUAAUUGUUUGCUUUCUAUAUCCCCUCUGGAUAUGACUCUUCUAUGUCAAAAUUAUUCAUUGUAGAAUUCCCUAGCCCAAUGCCUGGCAUGAAAUAUUAAAUAAAAUAAUGAAUGUUUGGGAUAAACUAAUGUGACAUGAAUGUAGGGGACACGGUAGUCUGAGCCAGGUUGCAGAGGGCCUUAAGUGUGCUUCUAAAUGAGGUUACAGAUAUUAUCACGUGCUGGGCAGCAGGGAUCCAGUGACGACUUUGAGUGGUAAAAGGACGUGGUGCCUCUGGUGGCAAGUGGGGUGUGGACUGGAAUGGGGAAUGGCUGGCAGCUGGAAGACAUGGCCCUGAUCUCCCUCUCUGAGGGGAACUGAUGCAGUCAGUGUAUAGAGAUAGGAGUGUACUAGCCUGCAGCCUGGUUAUGGGCUGGGGGCGGGGGGAGGAGGGGACACAUUCUGAAUAAUAACAUCCUAUGGGAUUUCUAAGUUUGUGACCAAGCUGGCAUCUGCAUCUAGGUUACUGGGUUCUAGAACAUGGAGUGGAGGCAUAGGAAGGCCAAGAAUAGGAGGUCGGGAAGUGAGGACGUGAAAGAAUUCCCUGUGCUGAGCAGCAUGCAGCCACCAUGAAUAUUUACUGGAGGCAGCUUGCCUGUUAAGGGUAGUGACAGACUGGUGGGUAGAGAGAAGAGGGAGAAAUCAAAAAAGACUUUGGUUUGGGUAACCUGGUGAGUGCUGAUGCUUUAGCAGGUUAGGGAGAGGAGGAGGAGAGGAGAAGGAGCAGCAGCAGCUUGCUAGGGCUGCAAUCAGAUUGGACAACGAGGGAGGGAGGAAUAGGUGGCAGAUACUUCAUGGAUUUUCUUGAGUCCCAGUUGGGGAACUUAGACAAAAAAUCAAGAUUUUUCAUUGUGUUUUAAAUUUAAUCUGUGAGAAUCACUUUAUUUUACUCAUAAAAGCUUUUUUAUGAACAGCAAUGCCUUAGCUGUGUUCCUAGUUCUAAGAGAGCCUCUUCAAACUUUUUACACAAGUCUAGUUAAUUAGGGUCAGAUCAAGGAGGUCUGAGUCGAUGGGUUAAGCGUCUUCAGGUUGGUGAGUAAGAUCAGCCUCCUAGGGCAAAUGGUUUAAAUAUUUAAGCAAAUUUUUUUUCUAUAAUAAAUAUUUUCCAUGUAGUUGCCUAUAAUAAACACUCACAGUCUCAAGAUGGUAAAUCAGCAGAACUUGGAACCACCUACACAAAAUGUUCACUAUAUGGAGAAAGAAAAUAGACUUAGAUCAAAACCUAAUUUUAUGACAAGUUAUAGAGUAAGUACCACUUUAAGAUACAUUUUUAUGGUAACUGAUAUGUAAAUAUUCUCGAAUCUUCUCUCUUAUCUAUCCAAAAAAGGGCUAAUUGUUAAGCUAGUGCUUUGCAUUUCCAAAAUUACUUCCAUCAACAGCUUUGUAAACUUUCUCUUAAAUCGUUUGCCAGAAUAAUUAUGGCCUAUGGAUUUAAAUAGGAUUUUAUACCGUUUUGUUAAUUAGCUUAGUCAAAGAUAUUUGGGGCUUAUCAUACUGAAUGAAAUAUUGUUCUAUUUCUUUUUUCUUACAGUGUUUUUUUUCCUCAGCCUAAAAUAGGUGUACUCGUUCCUGUGCCAAAGAGUAUGAAAAGUCUCAGGAAGAAUUUGGCAGUUUUUCCUAGAGUAUAUAUUUUGCUUGAGGAACUUGUCAGUUGCAAAAUGGGGGAGGCUAAUUAUUUUAACACAUUUUUAUAUUAAAAUAAAUAUGUUAUGCUAGAAUGAAAAUUCACAUGAAUUUAUGCAUAUUAAAAAAGAACUGCACACAAGACUUCAAAUAGCUAUUAAGCUGGGUGCCAGCAUUUUCAGCUUCUCACUCCAUCUCUGGGUGAGGUUUCUUGCCUUCUAAAGAUGGUCUUGUAGAUGGGGCAUUUAUACCCAUCACUCUGGGUUCUGUUCUAAACAGACUUGAAGAAGAUGUCAUAAGAGAAUCAAGAGCCCAGAAAUAAACCCAAGCAUUUACAGUCAGCUAAUAUUUGACAAGGGAGCUAAGAAUACUCAAUGGAGAAAAGAUAGUCUCUUCAAUAAGUGAUGCUGGAGAAACUGGAUGUUCACAUUCAAAAGAAUGACACUAGACCCCUAUCUUACACCACUCACAAAAAUUAACUGAAAAUAGAUUAAACACUUAAAUGUAAGACCUGAAACCAUAAAACUACUAGAAGAAAACAUAGGGGAAAACUGCCUGACAUGGGUCUUGGCAAUGAUUUUUUGGAUAUAACACAUAAAGCACAAGCAACAAAAUAAAAAGUAAAUAAGUAGGGGGCCAGCCUGGUGGUAUAGUAGUUGAGUUCACACGCUCUGCUUCUGUGGCCUGGGGUUCACGGGUUCAGAUCCCAGGUAUGGGCCCAUGCACUGCUGAUCAAGCCAUACUCUGGUAGGGUCCCACAUACAAAAUAGAGGAAGAUUGCCACAGAUGCUAGUUCAGCGACAGUCUUCCUCAAGCAAAAGGAGAAAGAGUGGCAGCAGAAGUUAGCUCAGGCCCAAUCUUCCUCUCCAAAUAAAUAAAUAAAUAAGUGGGACUUCAUCAAACUAAAAAGCUUCUGCAGAGCAGAAGAAACAAUCAAAAAGUGAAAAGUCAUCCUAUGGAAUGGCAGAAAUAUUUGCAAAC